Molecule: ribosomal RNA, 505 nt
Filed under: uncultured bacterium
Lineage: Bacteria
Description: partial 16S ribosomal RNA
Rfam family: Bacterial small subunit ribosomal RNA
Source: RNAcentral
GACGAACGCUGGCGGCGUGCCUAAUACAUGCAAGUAGAACGCACAGUUUAUACCGUAGCUUGCUACACCAUAGACUGUGAGUUGCGAACGGGUGAGUAACGCGUAGGUAACCUGCCUGGUAGCGGGGGAUAACUAUUGGAAACGAUAGCUAAUACCGCAUAAUAUUAAUUAUUGCAUGAUAAUUAAUUGAAAGGUGCAAUUGCACCACUACCAGAUGGACCUGCGUUGUAUUAGCUAGUAGGUGAGGUAACGGCUCACCUAGGCGACGAUACAUAGCCGACCUGAGAGGGUGGUCGGCCACACUGGGACUGAGACACGGCCCAGACUCCUACGGGAGGCAGCAGUAGGGAAUCUUCGGCAAUAGACGAAAGUCUGACCGAGCAACGCCGCGUGAGUGAAGAAGGUUUUCGGAUCGUAAAGCUCUGUUGUAAGAGAAGAACGGGUGUGAGAGUGGAAAGUUCACACUGUGACGGUAUCUUACCAGAAAGGGACGGCUAACUACGUG